UGAGGAAUAUUGGUCAAUGGGCGAGAGCCUGAACCAGCCACGUCGCGUGAAGGAAGACUGACCUUACGGUUUGUAAACUUCUUUUGUAGAGGGGUAAUGGCAGAUACGUGUAUUUGCGUGAAAGUACUCUACGAAUAAGCAUCGGCUAACUCCGUGCCAGCAGCCGCGGUAAUACGGGGGAUGCGAGCGUUAUCCGGAAUUAUUGGGUUUAAAGGGUGCGCAGGUGGCUAAUCAGGUCAGUGGUGAAAAGCUAUGGCUCAACCAUGGUCUUGCCAUUGAAACCGUAUAGCUAGAGAGGAGACGAGGUAGGCGGAAUGUGUGGUGUAGCGGUGAAAUGCAUAGAUAUUACGCAGAACUCCGAUUGCGAAGGCAGCUUACAAAACUACUACUGACACUGAGGCACGAAAGCGUGGGUAUCAAACAGG
Molecule: ribosomal RNA, 425 nt
Filed under: Verrucomicrobiota bacterium
Lineage: Bacteria; Pseudomonadati; Verrucomicrobiota
Description: Verrucomicrobia bacterium partial 16S ribosomal RNA
Rfam family: Bacterial small subunit ribosomal RNA
Source: RNAcentral